RNAcentral lists this long non-coding RNA (320 nucleotides) under Panax ginseng (ginseng). RNAcentral describes it as "long non-coding RNA (PGIN_LNC011050)". The record is from RNAcentral. Lineage: Eukaryota; Viridiplantae; Streptophyta; Magnoliopsida; Apiales; Araliaceae.
UUAAUGAAUUAUUAGUGUAUUAUUGCUAGCAAUCUUGCAAAAUCUGGACAUCUAACUUUAUUCUAGAAUUUACCAUGACACUAUAGCAUUACUACCACCAAUAAUCAGCCAUUACAUGAUUGCAUACAUGAUUUAUAUGAUUAAAGAGAGAGAAAUUGCUCAUUUUUGGCUAAAUUGUGCAACAACACUUAGCUUCAUUCUCUCUAGACCAAACCUCCGAAAUUUUCUUACCCAUAAGCUCAUAAUCAAAGCCCAGCCAUCACAAACCACAAAUCAGAAGCAUCAAGAAGUCAGAAAUCAAAAAUCAAGCUUGAAAAGGU